RNAcentral lists this ribosomal RNA (465 nucleotides) under Vreelandella stevensii. RNAcentral describes it as "partial 16S ribosomal RNA". It matches the Rfam family "Bacterial small subunit ribosomal RNA", at positions 338 to 795 of the family's 1533-position model. The record is from RNAcentral. Lineage: Bacteria; Pseudomonadati; Pseudomonadota; Gammaproteobacteria; Oceanospirillales; Halomonadaceae.
CCUACGGGAGGCUGCAGUGGGGAAUAUUGGACAAUGGGGGGAACCCUGAUCCAGCCAUGCCGCUUGUGUGAAGAAGGCCCUCGGGUUGUAAAGCACUUUCAGUGAGGAAGAACGCCUGGUGGUUAAUACCCAUCAGGAAAGACAUCACUCACAGAAGAAGCACCGGCUAACUCCGUGCCAGCAGCCGCGGUAAUACGGAGGGUGCGAGCGUUAAUCGGAAUUACUGGGCGUAAAGCGCGCGUAGGUGGCUUGAUAAGCCGGUUGUGAAAGCCCCGGGCUCAACCUGGGAACGGCAUCCGGAACUGUCAAGCUAGAGUGCAGGAGAGGAAGGUAGAAUUCCCGGUGUAGCGGUGAAAUGCGUAGAGAUCGGGAGGAAUACCAGUGGCGAAGGCGGCCUUCUGGACUGACACUGACACUGAGGUGCGAAAGCGUGGGUAGCAAACAGGAUUAGAUACCCCGGUAGUC